GGGGCUGAUCGGUUUCGACAGCGCCUGCGAAGCUGCGAGAAGCGGGCCGAGGAUGCAGGGUUAUCUCGUAAACGAUCUCUGCGAACCAAUAGUUGCCGAUGCAAAGCGCAACGACUUCGCCCUCGCUGCCUAAGCGAGCCUGAAGUCCGUCAGACCGUAGGCGAUCCCGCUACGGCUUAGGUGUCUGUGACAAAGGUCGGAGCCGAGCAGAACGUCUCUACAGACUGCGCCCGGAGAAGACGCAGUAUCCCAGCGUUGGACGGGGGUUCGAUUCCCCCCAGCUCCACAA
RNAcentral lists this transfer-messenger RNA (289 nucleotides) under Microbacteriaceae. RNAcentral's name for it is "Microbacterium sp001898315 Standard tmRNA". It matches the Rfam family "transfer-messenger RNA". Rfam says of the family: Bacterial tmRNA, also known as 10Sa RNA or SsrA, is named for its dual tRNA and mRNA-like properties. Its role is to liberate the mRNA from a stalled ribosome. Lineage: Bacteria; Bacillati; Actinomycetota; Actinomycetes; Micrococcales. The record is from RNAcentral. RNAcentral also lists the same sequence under 1 other name.